CCUCCUCCAGUUCCUCCCUUCUCGCUUCACCGUCUCCUCCUCCGACCUCCGCUUCUGCAUCUCCCGCGUCCUCACCCCCACCCAGCCGGCCCAACAACACAAUACUACUAAUACUACUAUUGUAUCCAUCUCAGCUGCUGCUGCUACGUCACCCCCUCCGCUUCUCUCGCCGCCUCCCCCGCCUUCGGAGUCGGUGCAACCCAACGGCAUGAUCAAGCGCGUGUUCGGCACUCACGGCGCGGCGGCGUACAGCUACAUCAACAUGGGAACUUACAGAGGAGGAAUGAACACUUUUGCUAUAGUGGGUCUAGCCUCCAAGCCUCUCCAUCUCUACUCAAACCCGACGUACCAAUGCCGGUGGAUCCCAACCGUCAACUCCUCCGCCGUAGUCUCCGCCGUCGGAUACAAGAUCCUCCCCGACUGGGGCUACGGGAGGGUCUACACCGUCGUGGUGGUGAACUGCACAUUUUCUCAGGACGUUAAUUCCGACAACUCCGGCGGGAAGCUGGUCCUUUUGGCCUCAACUUCUGGCGGCGGUGACCGGAAUCUCAACGUCACCGAUGAGAUUGAGGCGUUAACAGAAAACCCAGGAAGCUUAAACCCUUCAAUCUUUACUUCCAAGCCUAAAUAUGAUUAUUUUUAUUGUGGGUCUUCUUUGUAUGGGAAUUUGAGUCCUCAGAGAGUGAGGGAGUGGAUUGCUUACCAUGUGAGGCUGUUUGGGCCCAGAUCUCAUUUUGUGAUUCAUGAUGCUGGUGGGAUUCAUGAGGAGGUUUUGGAGGUGUUGAAGCCAUGGAUGGAGUUGGGGUAUGUGACUUUGCAUGAUAUAAGAGACCAGGAGAGGUUUGAUGGGUAUUAUCAUAACCAGUUCAUGGUGGUGAAUGAUUGUUUGCAUAGAUAUAAGUUCAUGGCUAAGUGGAUGUUCUUCUUUGAUGUGGAUGAGUAUAUCUAUAUGCCUCCCAAGAGCACCAUCAAAACUGUGCUGGAUUCUUUGGCUGAAUACUCACAGUUCACCAUUGAACAGAUGCCAAUGAGCAACAAGCUCUGCCUGCUUGAAGAUUAUCACAAAACUAACAGGUACAUACAUCAUCACCAAACACCCCGAAAUUUUUAUGGUCAAUUUGCUAAUCUGAUUUUGACAUGUGGGAUGUCUUCAUUAGAUCAAAUUGUGAAUUGAAUUGGCAUAUGCAUGUUAGUUUAGCAAUCUCAUUCCAUUGUUUUGUGAUCAAAGUUCUCAUGUAAUUGGGGGCAUUGGAUUCCUACUAGCAUGGACAUGAUUGAAGCAGCAUUAUGGGGUUCCUGUAGAUCAACUUUAGGGUCAUUGUUUCUUAUGGUGGUAGUGUCUUUUGGAGCUUUUUGCAUUUUUAUGUUAAAAAUGAGUUUGUGACAAUUAUUUUGGCACGUUCUUCUGCAUUUAUUGAAGAUUCCUGCUUUGAUAAAUUUUACUUGGGCAGGUUGUGGUGGCUUGAACUUUGUUCUCAAGUGGGUGUUUCUUAUUGAUCAUUAGGGUUAAUUAAUAGUAUUAUCACCCAUCUUUCUGCAAGUGUCACUUUUUUGUGAGAAGCAUCAGAACCAGUCUUAAAAAAUAGAUGUUACUUGCCCUUUAUAAGAUACAACAGUGAGAAUGAUCAGAAUGGAUAUUAUUUGGUUUUGGUAGUGGAAAUCUAGUUGUGUGAAGAAGAUCUGAACUUGGGUUGUUAGAUCCCUAUUAGGACUGAUUUCAAUAGCCAGUUUUCCUUAUACAAGAUAAACUUACAAUGCUCAAAUGAUGUUGUUUAUGGAAAUGAAAAAUGGGAAAGUAGUGAAUAAGUAAGGAGAAAGACAACAAGAAAUAGUGUAUGUUGUUUGAUUAUAGAAAUUAAUUGAGAUUAAGACUGUUGCUGAUGUUGACCAAAGAAAAAUAAACAUGUAAUACCAUAUUGGAAGAUUAGGACUGAUUUGUUGGGACGUAUGUUUAUUUUCGUGACUAGAUCUGGAUACUAAUAUAGACGUUAGUCACAAGAAGUUUCCAAUUACAAUAACCAUGUGAAGUGUUGAACAUUAGGCUCUAAAAUUCUCUGUUCUUGACUUAAGCAUAUUCUCAUUUGUGUGUAUUCUUGUGCUAGCUCACAUGCUAAUGUGUUUUGCAUUCUUGAUGGUACAGAAAAUGGGGAUUUGAAAAACUUGUGUACAAAGAUGUGAAGAGAGGCAUAAGAAGAGACCGGAAAUACGCGGUGCAACCGCGCAAUGUGUAUGGCACCGGGGUGCACAUGUCCCAGAACAUAGCAGGGAAGACGACACACAAAACUGAGAACAGGAUCAAGUAUUUCCAUUACCACGGAACCAUUGCAGACAGGCGCGAGCCAUGUAAGAAGCUGAUCAAUGACACACAGAUCUACCUUGACAAAGUCCCUUAUGUCAUAGACACAACCAUGAGAGAUGUUGCUGGGGCUGUGAAGAGAUUUGAGCUCAGAAUGAUUGGAUCCAGGUUACAACAGACUAGGCAAUGAUAGAACAAAACAUCAUCUUCCCAUUUUUUCAGAACCUUUUUUUUUAUUUUUUAUAUGUGAAUCUUUAAUUUAUAGUUGCGGUAGAGAAAUUCUUUUUGGGGGGUUCUUCCUUGUAUGAUAGUUCCAGUAAAGGUAUAAAUUACAGGUUGGUAUAUGAAUAUGAUCACUAUGGUUUUUGAGAAGUUUUUUCAGAGGUGUUCAUAUUCUAAUUCUUUAUUUAUUUGAUUCUUAACAAUAGAUUAUGGUCAAUGAUUAAUCAUAUUGAUUGUUUGAUUGAAGUGUCGGUAUGAAUUUAGUUAGUUAUUUUAAGGACCACACCAGCACUGAAGCAAUUGAAGGUGGCUUUGGUGGCAAAAGUGCUUUUCAUAGCUACUUUCCCUUUCAUUUUGCAACUCCUUCCACACAAUUUGUUUUUGUCCUCCUGGAUUUAUUCAUGCUUCGCUUUUCUAUCCAUGAACUUAGAAAAAGAUUUCCAGAAUAUUAUGGGCUAGCUUUUUACAUUUCCAAGCAUCACAUUUUCUGAGAUGAACUUUGGCUUUGUGCAGCCCUCAAAGAUUAAUCUUAAAGUUGUACUAUAUGUGAGUUUUGAUAAACAUUGAGCUUUGGAAUAAUUCACAAAGAGUUAGGCUUUAUCUAUGCCUCUAUGGGAGAUCAAGUCAAAAGAGGUGGUGGGUGAUAUGUCUCAUCCUUUUAGCUAAUGUAACACAUGGACUGAAGGGAAGUAAAGCAAAGAAUGAAUCAACAAUGGCUUAGAUAAAAACUGUCCUCUUGCUUAUAGAGUAUUCCCUCGCCUAUGUCUUUUAGAGUUUGCUUUCUUUUACAUUUCAUUUUCAGGUUCCCCACACCAGUCUUCAAUCAUCACCUAACGGGACAUGUGUGGUUCUUGUAUGGUGUAUGGUGUAUGAUAAUAAUGUAACUUGUUUUAGGCUCUACUAAAAGAGUUUAUUAAACAAUUCGACAUACUACAUGUUUUACGAACACUUGUUCGAACUUCUCAGGUUGAUCGAUAUUCUAUCACAUUAGAGCAUUUUUAUUUUUAUUUUUUUAUUUAUAGUUAUUUUAGAAAACAUGUUUAACUUUUUCAUCAAAUUUAGUUGUUGCACUAGACUCUUAAGUGACUCUCCAUUAGAACUUAAGUGGUCAUAAAAAGAGGUCAAAUAUCAAUUUUCGAGGUAUAAAUAGAAAUUCUCUUACGUAAUGUCGCUGCUUAUUUUGCGACGUAAACAUGCUAAAUAAAAAACAAAGAGGAGCUUAUAUUAAAAUAGAUACAAAGACGACGACAGUAGCUGAGGAGGACUUUAAGCCGAUUUUUGGUUUGAAAAAUAAAAACAAGAAGGCAAGGACCCGUGAAGAAGCCAACGAAGGAGAGACUGCCGACUGAAGAAGAAGACCCCCUCCUCCAUCCUUGGCAUGAAGAAAUAUUAAUGCAAUACAUAUAUUUUAUAAGCUCAAAAACUUUGGGAGCAUAUGCUUCACAGUAUGAGUCGGUCCAAGAUCGUAUAAGAAUAAUGUGGCAGAUUUAGAGGGAUGACAACCCACAAAAUAAUGGAUGGUGGGUGGGUUUGGUGACCCCAGUGAUGAAUAUGACCUAAACUGAUCGAUCUAGGUUUGAUCCUGCAGCUCAUGCCUUUUGAAGCUUUAUAAUAAAUGGUAUUGGUCUGUAAGUUCUGUAACAUUAACAUAAGGAUUUAAUACCUUACCGUCUGGUGGAGGGGAAGUAGAGCAUUGGCUUUAUGAUCCAGACAAACUGGGUUUUACGUACUUAGUGAAGUGUGUGUGGAUCUGGGUAUUAGUUUUUCUGAGGUAGGUUACUUCUGCAUCACUCUGCCUCUUUCUUUACACAAAGUACAAGAAAACCCAGACCAAAUUCUUUGCAGAUUCUCUGGCAUUGAGAUUAUAUAUUGUUAAUGAUUCUUUGCAGACUUAAUUGCCUCCUAAUCAAGAGGCUAAAGUGAUGAUUAACGGGGAUAGCUUUGUCCAGGGUAAAGCUUAGCUCGCCAGAAACUGUUGCUCAAGAAUAUUAUUAUCUCUGUAUUAUUAAAGGAAACAAAUACAAUAAGAGAGAGACAACAUUAUUUGGAAAAACAAAACAUGUGGUUGAUUGCUUCCAUGUGAGAAAGAGGCCGUGUGAGGUUGUGAGCUAGCUAAGAGAAAAUGUGUCACUGUUUGUUAGCAUUGCUAUCGAAUUAGAGUUUCUGUAUUGUGUACGAGUUUGGGGUUAAAAUGCAGAAGAUGAUGGAAUGGGGUUUAGGCUGGUUAUGCGUAGCAAGUUGUUGUAUGAUUGGUGUCAACAAUGGCCGCCGUAGAUAGAUGAUCAAGAGUCCAUGCCGAUGGAGCGGUGGAGGUCUGCGUUGCCAUGCAGCUGGCAUUGGUAGCUUCGCUUUCAACUUCCACAUUUGUUUUUGUCACUAUUAUUUGCAUUUUUUUUUGUUUAAAAAAUAUCUGCCGCAGAGAUCUCUCUAGACUCAGGGUUCGGACAUUAUUCAAGUAAUGACUCCUUUUAUGUCCCGUACCAUUUUUCUUAGUCUAGCGAUAUAGUCUUCUCUUUACAAGUGAGUAAGAGGUCAUAAGUUCGACUCACAAAAGACUCGUUGUAGUAUUUUAGUUGUUUAACUAAUAAAAAUAAAUGACUUUUUCUAUCAUGCACUUAUGAGUUAUGAGUUAGGAAGAUAAGUGACGAUUCACAUAUCCGUUCUUCAGUUGUUGAAGACAAGAUAUGUUUCUCCUCCCCUCACCUCUCUUGUUCCUAGCUUAUUAGCAUUCAACGACCAGAACUUUGAAAUAAUUAUAGAAAAAAAAAAUGUUCAUAUUCAAAGCCGUGGAAAUUAGAUACUUUGGCAAGUUUACCGUGUAAGAUUAACCGUCUGCCAACACUUUUGAUCUCGAUGACGACGAAGUGUGUAUCAUAAUCUCUUUAUGUCCAAGCCAAGCUACGAUGAAUUGAUAUGAAAGAAGAACGAGUAAAACGAAUUGAUAGUCGACGAGCUAAUCCAAGUUUGUUCACGGUCAAAAAAAUAGUGCCGGCACGUCACAUGAAGGCAUUCAUGUCUAAAAGCAUGGUUUACCCAAUUCGUGUUGGCCUGUCACUCGUCUCUAAAUCUUGUCACGGUGAAAUUUGGUUAUACGAAUUUGAAAAUUUUGCAGAAGUUUAUAAUGCUUGGCUCUAAUGGCCAAAUCUUGAUCAUGAAGUAGGACGAUUUUUAGAAGAAGUUUCGUAGCCGAAGCAAGGUCGGUCGUUGUGAGUUAUGAUUGAAAUUUGGUCAUGGUAUUAAUGGUCCCUCGUUCCAAUUAACAAAGUCCAGCUCUUUCUCUUUGGCUAGGGAACCUAGGCCAAGACUUUGAUGCACAUAAUUGUGACAAUACACAGUUGUGAAUUUGAUUUAAUACGAGUUUUGAUUGAUGAACAUAUCUCUUUAUCUCCAUUCACAAAUCUCCAUUCACAAAUAGACUGAACAAUUAAUUUUAUCUUUUUUCUCAUGUUUACAAAUCAAUUUCAUAAAUUGUCAUUUUCGAGAGUCAAUUUACUAAUUGCUCGAUCCUGAUUUUUGAAAGCUCAUGUCAUGUUUCACAGUAUUCAUUUCAACACAGUAUAGUUUUUUUUUAGAAAGGUAAAACUUUAUAUAAUAACAACCAAUGUUACAACUUACAACCAUAAAAGAAACAAAUAAGUCUCCACACUCCUAUUUACCAACACACCAGCGACUACAACGAACAUAAUAUAAUUUAAGGCAUUUACAUAAUUAAUACAGGAACAUAAUCAAUAAAUUAAUACAGGAACCUGUCGAUGUUCAGCCCGACAAGCCUAAUAAGUGAUUAGUUUAACAAAAUGUUUCGGUGACAAUGGGCAACAAGUAAAGGCAUAUGUAGUACUAGAAAAAACAGUAGGUUUUUGAAUUGAGGCUUACAGAGAUAAUAGUGGCCCAAGAUUCUUAAGCCCAGCCUAAUCCAAACCAAAAAGAAGGAUUUUUUCUUUUCUUUUUCUGAGAUGAAAGUAUGAUCAUGUUAACUUGUUAAGUGGUUACAAAACAGACUCCGGCCAAACCCUAAACCCUGACAAAACAGACUGUAUCAGUAUCAGUAUCAGGUUCACUUUCCUCCUAUUUUGUUCAAGUCGUGUAUACACAUUUUCGCCAAUUUAGUACUUUCGUCAGUUCGUGUAUACAAGAAUUUUUGCUAAUUUAAUACCAAGGACUACUUUUACUACUAAAACGUUUGUAAUACUGAAGAAAUGUAAUCAUCUGGAACAAUGGAACAUCAUGUCAUCUUGUUACGGAGUUCGUUAUGAUCGAAAAAACAAGACCCAUUAUGUACAUGAUUUCACAAAAUGAAAAUACAUUCAUCAAAACUUGUUCAAAUAUACCAAAGGCCAUAUAGUCACGCGCUCUGUGCUUCUAAGAAAGCAUUGAAAUCCUCCCUAGCUUUGCGCAAGCGAGGUGUGAUGCAAGAACCCGGUGAGGCAGGGUAAGAUUUCGGAGAUGAUGUCGAAAACCGAACGUGGCGAGGUGAUUCAUGUGAUCUUCUAGCUGCUGAGGUUCUGGCUGAGCCAUUCUUCAGGACUCCUUUUAUGUCCUUAUCAAAUAGGAAACCUGUAGUAACUGGGGAAUGUGCAUCAUUUACAUUGCCUCUUAUUAACUCCAGAGGCAGAUCAAAGUGACCCAUGGAGUCCUCUAAGUUGCCACUUACCAUGUUUUGAGAAGCCCACGAACCACAUUCAAACUUUUCCAAAGAAACUGAUCUAGAGAUGACAUUUCGAUUUUGCAGUUCGGAUUCUACCUUUCUUGCUCUCACUGGCUUUGCCUUGCCGCCGAAGCCAGGAAGGAACAAGCAGAGAGCUCCACAUUUGAACUCAUCGAUGUCAUCAGUUGGUUCCUUUUUCUUGCCAUUUUCAUGCACAGGUCUGUUGACUUCUGUUUUGGAGAAGCUGGUGUAGCUGGUAUAUGCUCUGUUGACAAUUUCAUUGGCAUUUGGUUGAAUCAGCCAAAGAUCAAAGUCAUCAGGAGCAUAUUCUCUUCCUUCACCGCACGACUUGGUGCGUCGAAAUUGGAGUUCUUGUUGCAGAUGAAGAGGGUUGAAGGAUGCAGAGUGGAGCUGGUUCACAUCCUCAACUUUCUGGGGAGAUACUUGCCUUUCAUUCUUCCAUUUCUUCUUCAGCAAUGAGGCGCCGAAUCGUGGCGAUGAGGUUGCUGAAUUCGGCAGACUUAUGCUUAAAAAAUUAGAAUUUGUAGGAGGCAAUAGCGCCGGCAGUUGGUUCUGUCCUUUUGGCUCUGGAGCAGUAACACCAGCCUGCACUGGAUUAGCACUCUCUUCUCUAUGCAACGAUAUCGGAUCCACAGAAAUCUGCUUUUCCAUCGUUGCGUUCCGAAACCCGUAUCUUGAAAUAUGAAGCAUUUCAUCUGAAACUGGAUUUGCCAUGGUAUGGAAAAGCAGAAAUCCUGAGGAAGAUGGUUUGGCAUUGGACUACUUAAGGAAGAGGGAAAACAGACAAAUGGUUUAGACGUGUGCAGCAUAUUACGAACAGCAACAUCUAGUAGUGAUAACCAUGUUCUCUCCUUAAAAUAACUCUAAUUAUUCUUUAAUCUCUAUGGAGAAAGUUGACUUAAAACAAAACAUAGUUAACUAUACAAAUUGAGUUCCUAAAUAUCAGAGAAGGUAUUGACCUUCCUAAGAGUUUAGGAUGGAGUAUCAAGUUUGUUGAUUUGCUUGCGUCAACUUUAUAUAAGAUUCAUACAUGCAAGCAAUACAGGAAUAUAUGCAAGAUAGACAAAGCAAAUAGUUGAUGGCAAUGUACCAAACAUGACAUUAGCAUUAUCUUUAGGCUAUAAAAACUUGUGUAAAGCUUAUAGGAACAUGACAAUAACACUAUAUUCAAUAUAUAUUGCAAGGCAUAGAAAUCUAUACAUUGAAAUAUAUGACAUUUAGACAAGAUUUCUACUGGAGUGAAUUGUAAAAUAAAAUUAAUACCACCGAUACACCAAUAAUGACUGGAAAAAGCGUGACCAAGUACAGUGCUCCAUAGCCCUGCAAGAUGAGAAAAUGUCUUUAGAACCAUUAGCUAGACCAGAAAACCAUUUAAAACACUAAGCUCUGAAUUAAUUCAUCAAUAAUUAAAUGAGCCGCUUUCUGUAUUGCACAAGGCAGAUUAACAAAUAUCGAUGAGCCGCUUUCUGUCCUUGAAUGAACUAAAUCAAGAACGUAUUAUAGUAAUCUACUUCUAUUGCAAAUUCUAAACAUUACUCACAACAAUGAUUUUUUUAUUUAUUUAUUUUAAUUUUAUUUUUUGCACUUACUGUAAGCCAAAACAUGUAAUAGUGUCCAUUAUUCCACAUUCUUCUUAAUCUGAUAAGUGAACAAACAUGAGAAAGCAAAGGAAACAAACCACAACUGAAGGCACAUCUGAUUCAUCCUUAACAUCAGCAUCAUCAAUCUCCGCAGCUGUAUCCCAAUCAAUGUUCAGUCUCUUAGCAGCCUCUUUAAGAUCAAUACCGGUGUCUGUGACUCUUGCAUAUAGUGAUUUUCCUGGCUUUUUCUUUGCUGGUUUAAUCUGAACCUACAAAGUGACAGAAUUUAAAGCAAAUGAGAAAUGAGAAAUUUUUAAACUGAUCAAAAUUUGAAGCAUCCAGUGAUACCUAAAGUUGGACAGAUAACUAUGGAACAGAACGGUGGUGACCAUCUCAUGAAAAGCGUAUCUUGAUAGUUAAAUGAUCAAUGUUCUGGGUUUUGAGAGGUUCUGUAAAAAGCAUUGAAAAAAAAAAAAUCCUUUUGAUCGAAGAGCUCAGCAGGAUUGUCAUCAUCAAGUGAGUUUCUUACAUGUUGACAAAAUGAAAACAGAUUAUAGUUUUCAGACAGGUUUAUUUUGAUUUGGCUGUAUCACACCCUCUCAACCAGCAACAAGUCUUUCCCAGGGUAGAAAGAGUGACCAUCAGGACCCAAAAAUCGAUAAAGUGCAAAUCAAUUGAGAUUAUAUACAGUAUACACACAAACUAUCAUAUUUACCAGUCAUUACUAAUAGUCAAGUUACAAUAAUACCUCUAGAUUGGGCCAUCGAUUCAUUUCCUCAGCUAGCAGUUUAAGUGCAAGUCGAUUUUUGGGGAUUUUCCCCUCAUGCACCUACAUCAUGAGUCACAUAUUAGGGCCAUGAUCCAUAUAUUUGCUCUUUUCAAAUUUCAGCAUCUCACAAAUCUCAAAGAAAAAGUAUCCUUCUGCCAAAAAGACUAAAUAUCAAAGCAAAGAGCAAUGACAUGUUCACUGGCUUACAAACUUAUACAACUUUGGUCACUAAUAAUACAGUUACAUACUGUGAAAUCUUCUUUCUUCAUCAUACUCAAGGCAACAAGGCUUUAUCAGACAAUUAUCAGUUGGAACUCUCUUUUCCACUCAUGUAUAAGCUAUAAUGGAAUAAACUUAAACAAGGCACAGCUGAGAACAUGUUUUGCAACAAGAAAGUUCCAUAUAAAACUUAGUGAUGACAGAGAUUUUAACAAACCCAAGUUUGUAAAAAACUUACUGAUAACCAGUACUCCAUUCUUUUGAGACUUGAAACGCAUCAUAAGAUACUAAUAUUCUAGUUCUACUCAUCCUUUAUACAUUGCUUCCUAAUUACUGAUAUAAUACAAUCCAGCGCCAGAGAAAAUAUAUACUUGUUUGAGUGACCGCACUACAUAGUGAAAUCUUUUGAUGUGUCACAAAUGAAAUGAAAUUAUUUGAUGAGUAACAUAUGCCAAACAUGCGUGUACCGAAGAAUGCCUCUUAAACUUGCCCUCAAUUUUCAGACUGCGUCUACGCAGUUUGCGAGUAAUUGGACUAGAUUUCCCCCCACCAUUUGAUCCUAUUUUCAUUGCAUUCAUAUAUUAUUUGAUUGAGAAUAAAGAAAUAGUGUGAAAUGUGAUGAGAACAUUGUAACCAAAACCAUCCACAAAUGCGCUAAUUUGGCAGUUCAACGAAUUGUGCCAUUCGCUUUACAAUAAGCAAUAAUAAGCAAAGGAAUUUAAAAGGUAGUACGUACUUCUUCAAGAACAGCAGCAAGCUCUUCCCUGGUGGGAGCAUCAGGAUCCUCAAUGCCAAGGAGUCUCUUCCGCUCUACUUCUCUUAUGUCCUCAAUCGCAAUAGUAAGCUUAACCUUCAUAUUCCACGACAUUGCAAAGUAAUCGAGAUUGAGAAACUCAAACAGUAAAGAACAAAGAAAUGCUCAGUCAAACUGUAUUGAUACCUCAUUGAAGAUCAUGUCUCUGUUCUUCUUAAGAAGCUCCAACACCUAUCAACAACAAGACCGAGCAUUAGGGCCAAGUGAACAGACACCCACGAAUCUACGAACUUAAGCAGCGUACUUACCCUUUUGAUUUGGCUGAUGUAUUCGAGGUCUUCAGGAGUAGGGUCGCUUUCUUCUUCUUCGUCAUCGUCUUCAUCUUCAUCUUCUUCUUGAUCAUCUUGGUCUUGUUGGGUAGUCCAAGAUGACGACGAAGAUGAUGAAACUUGCAACUUCCUAUCUGGGUUUGCGGCGAGUAGUACUGUGGGCCUUGGUCGGCGGCGGCGGAGAGUGAGCUGAGGCCGUGAAGGGUGGCAAUGACAAUGGUUGAACCACACUGGGAAGGUUUGGGACGAAGAAGAAGAUGAGGAGGAGGAAGCGUGUGGUGCGAGUGGCGCCAGUUGGAGCAUUUGGGAAGUCGUCGUCGUCGUCAUCAUCACUGCUCUCGCUCACUGGAGCUGAAAUCUUUCAGAGGCUUCGUUGCAUUCCGAGUGUGUGUGUGUGUGUGUUCUGGGUAGAAUUACAUGCAUUGGUUAAUUCUAUCCUCAACUUUUCUCUCCUUUUUACGUUCUAUUUUACUGGUCGAUCAGUUCAUCUAAGAAUUACUAUAUGCCUGUGGGUUUUAAACUAGUAUGCAAGUCCAAUCCGAAGUGAUAGGAUAUUAGGAUAUGAGGUCCAAUUAUAUCAUUGGGUUUUUUCCUUCGCAUCGAAAAAAAGAUUGGGUUUUCCUUCGUGUAUUUUUCUUUUUAAAGUUGCAAACUUCUCUUUGCCACCAUCUUGGAUGCGUUGUGAAAAUAUUCAAACUGUAAACACAGUAAAAACAACUUUCAUAGUUGUUAAAUAAUACUUUUCAAAGCGGUGUGAAGACCGAAGAAAUUUUGGUAAUCAAUAAAAAGAAAAUUAUCAAAGGACUUUCAUAGGAAUUUUUAUAAAUUUACGUUAUCAAAAGUAUGUAUUGGAAGAAUUUAGACACACAUAUACAUAAUAGUUUAAAUGUAAGAUGAAGGAUAACAUGAGACUGGUCAAGUUUCACGCAUGCAUUAGGUAGUUUUCUCCCAAGUCCAGAAGAGAGAGAACAAAACUUUAGUGGGCACAUAAUGCAGACUCCCCAACCCAACCUAAAUUAAUUAACAAGAAUGAUGAUCAAAUGAGAUUCCCCAAAGUUUUUCUUCUUUGACCUCAUUGUCUCACUUGGACUUGUCUUACAAUAACCUGUCUGGAAGAAUUCCUUCAGGUUUCCAACUUCAAACACUGGAUAAUUCAUCCUACUUGGAGAAUCCAUUGCUCUGUGGUUUUCCUCUUUCAUCCAAGUGGGAGGGAGAUGACCCCCAAAGAAAUCAAACAUUUUCAGGAGGAGACAGUGAAGAUGAUAAUGAAAAGCUUGGUUUCUAUAUCAGCAUGGUCCUCGGGUUUGUCAUAGGUUUUUGGGGUGUUUUUGGGACGUUAGUCAUAAAGAAGUCAUGGAGAUAUGCAUAUUUUCAAUUCUUUGACAACAUCAAAGAUAAAAUAGCACUAGCAAUUGCCUUGAAAAUAGCUUGUUUGAAAGGAAGAUUUUAAUCGGGAAAGAUAUCUUGUCAUAUACAUAAUAAUUAGAUAUAAUGUAUGUUUUUUUCUUGUAAAUAUACACUAAUGUAAUUCCUUACUAGCUAGCUUUAUAUUAUUGUUCUUCUUUUGGGUUGGCUUUGGUUUGACCCUCCAUCACAUAUGUACCUUCUGAUUUUUAUCAAUAAAUUCGAAGGGGGCGUGGAGUUAGUCCCUUCUCGCUUUCAAAAUAAAAGUAGAAAAAAUUAAGGUAUGAUGCUAACUUGAUGUUCUUAAACUUCUGCGGUUUUCUGUCUUUGCAUACAUGUUUCAAAUUAAAUGAAACAAUGACAUCUUUUUAUCACAUGGCAAGAAAAUGGUUCGAGAUUCAUUAGUUGCGAAAUGUGAACUCAUGAUCACUAUUGUUUCAUUUGGAAAUUAAAACCUAACAACGUACUCUCUGGAUCUCUGGAGCCAAACUUUUUGGUCCAAAACUUGAAGCCCAAGAUAAAGAAUCAUGCAGAGGCUCAAAGCUGACCCCAUUCAUUCAUCUCUCUUGCAUAAAGAUUACACUUUGCGUUUUACAAUUGUGUGUGCGUGUGUAUAGCUAGCUAGCUUUAAACAUAUGCUAAUGGUACUAUAUAUGAAUUGGUACGUGAAUACGUGAUACAUGUGUAUGCAGCAAAUCAGGGGCUGAAUAUCAUUCAAAAAGAUAUUAUUCCAACUGCGAACUUCCCCAAUGCGCUAAUAUGGAAUCAAAUUAUACAUAAAAGCUUCGAACAACGAUGACAUCUAAUUCCCCAUUCAUGUUUCCUCUCCAAAGUCUCAAGACUAGAAUAAGAGCAUGCAAUGUAUGUCCUCGCAGAAUUUAUGUUCGACAGGUAGCUAGUAUUCGUACCAUUGCAGCAUUCCUGACCAUUGUUAUUUUUUUCUUCUCUUGGGGCUUUACGGUUUAGAAUAUUGUUUGGAUCCAUCUGAUCGAGAUGUUCCCCGAGUUUUCUUCUCCGAAUUCUCCAAAUGUACUUAUAAUCACACUAAAUACACGCAUGCAUAUAGUUUGCACUAAUCUUUCACAAUGUUAUUUAUCACAAAUUUGCGAUCGUAACUUUAAGUCACUCGUUCGUGCACAUAAAUCAUGUCACGUACAUAAAAUUAUGUGAUUGAAAGAUCGGUAGAGGUGUGGUAGUCGACUAUAUAUAGAAGAGUGAUUAAUUCGGAUAUUUUCCUAUAUAUAUCCUCUUCUAUGAGAAUGGGCAAAAACAACGUGAGUGGAUUUUGUUAUCUCUCGCACAAAGCUUUUGGAGUUUAUGUGAUUACAGCCGUUGUUGCUUUCAAAAGGGAAAAGAGAGAUGAUUUUGUCAUGAUAGUAAUGCAAAUGAAGAGAUAUCAUGCAACUAAUUAAAUGAUAAAUUAGUCACAUUAUGACAAAAAGAAAGUAAAGUUUGCUUUCAAUACCUUUUAAUUAUGAUUGGUUUCAACAUAAAGUACUAAAUAUUACCUUGUUAAUUAUCACUCCAAAAAGUUUAUAACUUGUUAAUCACGAAGAGCAGACAUAUGAAUACAAACACACAGCGUGGUACGACGUCAUAGUACUUUCUCUAUUCAUGCCUCGCUCAUCUAUAUAUGUAUAAAUUAAGAAGAGAAGAAGUGCAUGUUUUUGUUAGAAUCAAAUAUACGAAUCAUUAACCGUAAGUGUAGGAGAAAUUUUUCAGUGGUUCGGGAGGACCACGUGGCAGUCUGACGUGGUCCUACUUUCCAAUCAAAUUUAGACAUGUAGAUUUUCUUUACGAAAAAUUAUUUCAGCUAUUUUGUCAAAGACCAUUUUAGGUUUUAUGUUGUUUUUUUAAUACUAAACCCUAAGCCCUAAACCCCAAACCCUAAACCCUAUACCCUAUACCCUAAACCCUAAACCCUAAACUCUAACCCUAAACUUUAAACCCUAUACCUUAGACCCUAGUUUGAACUUGCUAAAUACCCAUGAAUGUUAUUUUACAAAAAAUAGAAAAUAUUUGUUUAUAUUUUAGUUGUAAAAAAUCCACAUGUCUAAAUUUGAUUGGAACGUAGGACCAUGUCAGACUGUCACGUGGUCCUCCCGUAGCAUUUAAAAAUUUCUAUAAGUGUAGUGCACGGAUGUAUGUGCUUAUUAAUUAAUUAUUUUAUAGUUCAAAUAAAUAUAACACAAUCCCUUUUUUUUUUUUUCCUUUUAUACAAGUGGCUAAGUAUUACACAAUACUAACCAUCACAUGUGGUCGAGUUGGUAAGAGUCUUGGUAUGGAAUGUCACAUCCCGACCCUUAUAUUUUUACCUUAUUUACUAGCGUGAUUAUAAUAAGAAUUUUUACCGUCCCGAUCAUUGAGUAAAUAGUUUAAUUGGUCCCUAGAGGGGUUUCGGGGACGAUUAUGUACGGAGGAUAAUUCGUAUGGGGAAAAUACGACGACGGUAAAAAUAGUAAAUUUUAGCUAGUAAAAGGUAAUUUUUAUUCGGGUAUUAUUUUUUCGGGGUGUUGAAUUUUGGAAUUUUGGGUUAAAAGGAGUGUUGGGUCGGCUGGGCCGAGCCCAACCCAUUUCUUCUUCUUUUCUCUUCUCCCUCUCUCCCGAUUUCCUCUCUUCCCACCCGAGUUUCUUCUCCCUCCACCCGGGAAACUUCACCACCGUCGUCCGCCGCCGUCCGGCCGCCCUAGACCGCCGCACCGGUUCCAAUCGAUCGACCUCCAACCCAGCAGCCUCCCUGGACCGGUGAGAGGAGCCCUAGCGCCGCCGUGAGUGAGCGGUGCCGCCCGAAAGGCUAGGCUGCCCCGAGCUUCCCUUCGCCGGAACUUCCUCCUCCGGCCACCAAUCCGGGCAAGCUUGGUACGGUUUUGUAGCCCUCCUCCCGUGCAACAACCCCUCCAAGCAGCUCCCUCCCUCUUGAGCUAGGUAAGGAGAAAUUUGAGGUGGAAGUUUUAUGGUGUUUAAGUUGUUUUCGUUCGAUUAGCCUAGUUAGGCUUGGAAUUGGGUGAUGUGUUAGUCAUGAAAGNNNNNNNNNNNNNNNNNNNNAAUUUGUGAGUGGACUUUUAUUUGAAAUAAUAUGCAUGCUAUGGUUCAUGAUUGAACGUUUCCUUUUGUUGGAGUUUUGACGUCAAUUAAUUUUGACGCUUUUAUUUCUCUGAGAGAGUUACCGAAAAUGGGAUUUUCGGUGAAUAUAAAUAUGUAUUUAUGAGAGAGUAUGGAUAGAAAAUGCUAGCUAGCCAUAUGUGUCUGUCCACCUUAAUGGCGUAACAUAUAGCCGCAUUAUGGUGUGACGUGAGCGUUGGACGUAAGCGUAGUAGCCCUAUUUGAGUGUUUAAUUCAUAUAGGGGGUAUGGACAUAUAUUUAUACACCCGUCUGUCCACCUUGAUGGCGUAGUGUAGCACCGCAUUAAGGCGUGACGUGAGCGUUGGACGCGAGCGUAGUAGCCCUAUAUAGACCCAUGAAUUUAUAUAGGGAGUAUGGACGAGUGUAAAUACAUACAUAUAUUAUAGAGUCUGAGAGGCUCGAUAUUUUAUGGGAUAAAAGUUUUAUCGCUUGCGGCAUGCAUUCGAUUUUUCCUUAGAAAUUAAUUUGGGGAAACAUAAAUAUUUUAUUUAUUAUUUUAUUUUUGUCCACUCACUCUAACGUUAUUAAAUGUUUUCCCCUAGGCCCUUCGUUUUAAAUUGCCCAGUCUGCAGAGUUCGGGUUGGAUCUAGUAGGAGUCGAGGCAUAGUCACCCGCAUUUCUGCCAGUUUUCGCCAGUAGGUUACCUGUUCAACCUACUUGUGUUUUCUUGCUUCCGUUUGUGUUUAGUAGCUCUGAAUACUUUAGAAUUUUUGUAUAUUAUGCGAUGUUCAGAAGUGAUAAAUUAAGAGUGUAAUUUGAAAUUUUCGAGUUAGGGUUGUCCAUCUGCAAGGGAGAUUUUCUUAAUCUUUUCAGUAAAUUUUCCUUGGAGGUGGUCCCCGCACGACUUACUCUGAGUUUCAGGGUGAAAUUCGGGGUGGGUCGUGUCAUGGAACCUCUAUACUCAGGUUCAAACUCCGCCGAUGCUAAUUGAAGUUAAAUCUCAAUUUAUUGUUGGUGGUCAGGGGGUGGAAACGUUCUGACAUAACCCUUCGACAACUCUAGACCCAGUAUGGCUUUGAGGAUACCGUCGUUGAUACUCUAAAAAAAAGUAUCACAUAAUACUCACUACGUGAGACAUCUGGAAGUAUAUAACUUGAUAUAUUUGAAUCGUAAUUAUAGCUCUCAAUGAAAUACAUACAUUUGCUUUGUACGUUAUAAGUGACUCAUAUUUAGUACUGAAAAAUAAAUAUUUAUACGACUUAGGGAUAUGAAUGACAGUUGAAGAAAAUGAGUACGUGAAAUAUGAAUUUUUGGAGGGAUUUGGUGGUGUGUGAUCGAGAGAUAGAUAUAUACAGAUCCUCCAAAUAUAUAAGAACAGGUGAAGAUAGGUAUAGAGAUGGAGGGGCCGCUUCUGUUGCGGACCUCUGAAUUGUGGAUUAUUUACGGACUUUCAAAACGUGUCCGUUGGAUUACAUGAGCGGCCUACAAGUUGAUGAGUACAACUCCUUUCCGUGUGGUCACAUGCAUCCGAACACAAUCCUCCCCCUCUCUCUCUCUUCAGCGCAUCAGAGCUCCCAACCCAAACACCACCAAAAUCCCAAAAUGGCCGAUCACCACCACCACCGCCCCCACCCCCACCCCCUCUCUCUCCCUCAAUGCCCCACCACCUUCACCUCCACCACUCCCACCACUUCCCGCCAAUACCCACUUUACCCCUUCACCCCCUCCUCCGCCACUCCCUCCAAACACCGCCUCUCCUCUCUCAACCCCAAACCCCUCUUCUCCUCCUCCUCCGCCGCAAGCAAAUCCUCUCUCUCAUUCCUCUUCCUCCUCCUCCUCUCCCUCCGAUCACUCUACUCCCUCCUCCCCUUCCUCUGCUCCUCCCCUUCUUUCUCUCUCUUCCCUUUCUCCUUCCUCUUAACCCUAGCUUUCUCUCUCUUCGAUUCUUCUGGCCAUGGGAGUGAGGUCAGCAGCAGUGGCCGGUGUGGUUGGAGGAGGUCUAGCUGUGGGUUGGGAGCUCUGAUGCACUGAAGAGAGAGGGGGAGGAUUGUGUUCAGAUGCAUGUGACCACACGGGAAGGAGUUGUACUCAUCAACUUGUAAGCCGCUCAUAUAAUCCAACCGACACGUUUUGAAAGUCCGUAAAUAGUCCGCAAGUCAGAGGUCCGCAACAGAAGCAGCCCCUAGAGAUGGAUCCACUUAUUCAUCAUAUAUUUCACUUAAAGCAAUGAUUAAAACAGUUUUACUAACUUACAAGGUUUGAUUUAAACGUACUAUGAUGGAAAGACAGAAUAUCCACAUCUAUCACUAUCGCUUCAUAUUUUCUGCUUGUAGUCUUGUACACUUUGAUAGUUUGAUUACGACACACUCAUCACCCACCUUAGCACUAACAAAAGGAUCAAAAAGCUAUGAGGAACAAGAGACCGCCUAUGGAGAGCGACUUGUUUCAGUUUUUACUAUAAAGACAGGUUAAGUAAUAAUCACACUUAAUUAGAAUAAUAAUGUCCAUUAGUAUUAUCAUUUAGCAGCCCAUAAACGUCGAAUCAGUUAAAUAGCAAAGUCCAUGGCAAGAAUUUCAAAUAAAAAAAAUAUAAAAAAAUCCAUGGCAAGAAUAAUUGGGCCAAAUUCUCAUUUUGCUAAUAUGGAAAGUUAAUUUGGUUUGUUAUUCAUAUAGAACGUGCAUGACGAGUCCAUUAUAAAAUUGGUAAUCUCACUACUAGAAAACAGUCAGGGGAUGAAAUGAAUUCCGCUUAAGUAACAAAAUUUAUCGGAUGAGUACUUAAGGUCUUGUACGGUUUGCGGAAAAGAAAGUAGUUCAUUUUAUCUUUUUCACGGGAAGGGAAAGAGAAGGGAAAUAGAAUUCCCGAUGACUUUUUGUUCCGAUAUUUAGUAACAAAUAAUCCGGAAUGUUGUUAAUUUAAAUAAUAAAAUUAUAUAUUGUGAGUAAUAAAUGCAAGAGAAUGAGAUGGGAAAGUGGUUUCUUUAGAUUUUGGAAGGAACAACUUUUCCUCAUAUUUUCCCAAUCUUCAGGAAACUAUUAAUUCCUUUCCUUCAGCAUUCCCAAACGCAAGAAAAAAAAACAAUUUUUCUUACCUGAUGGUUACUUUCCACGAACCGAACAAGGUCUUAGACUACGGAAAAUUUGUCACCUAUGAUUCGUUGCUUAGUGUCUUUAUUAUAUUCAAAUACUUUAAUUUGGAUAUUUUUUUUAUCAGGUAAACAACUUAAAUAUUACAACUUCGUGAGUCGAACUCAUAACCUCUUACUUACUAAGAGGAGAGUAUGUCGCUAGACCAAAUAGUACUGGACAAUCUUGACCAUAUAUAUUAAUGCAUAAAAAAAAUGUAUGGUCUAUCUAAUUCAUGCUUGGAAAGUUUUGGGGUAAUUUUAUGUGGUCCGAUCUUGUCCAGUACGUGAAAACAACACAAAACAACUU
Molecule: long non-coding RNA, 18738 nt
Filed under: Fragaria vesca (wild strawberry)
Lineage: Eukaryota; Viridiplantae; Streptophyta; Magnoliopsida; Rosales; Rosaceae
Description: long non-coding RNA (FVES_LNC001196)
Source: RNAcentral